Molecule: ribosomal RNA, 756 nt
Filed under: Trichophyton violaceum
Lineage: Eukaryota; Fungi; Ascomycota; Eurotiomycetes; Onygenales; Arthrodermataceae
Description: LSU rRNA
Rfam family: Eukaryotic large subunit ribosomal RNA
Source: RNAcentral
CUUCGGGCGCGGCCCCCGUCUAAGUUCCUUGGAACAGGACGUCAGAGAGGGUGAGAAUCCCGUCUUGGGCGGGCGGCCCGCGCCCGUGUGAAGCUCCUUCGACGAGUCGAGUUGUUUGGGAAUGCAGCUCUAAGCGGGUGGUAAAUUUCAUCUAAAGCUAAAUACCGGCCGGAGACCGAUAGCGCACAAGUAGAGUGAUCGAAAGGUUAAAAGCACCUUGAAAAGGGAGUUAAACAGCACGUGAAAUUGUUGAAAGGGAAGCGCUUGCGGCCAGACUCGGGGGGCGGGGUUCAGCGGGCGUUCGUCGCCCGUGCACUGCCCGCUCCCCGGGCCAGCAUCAGCUUCGACGGCCGGUCAAAGGCCCCCGGAAUGUGUCGUCUCUAGGGACGUCUUAUAGCCGGGGGUGCAAUGCGGCCCGUCGAGACUGAGGAACGCGCUCCGGCUCGGAUGCUGGCGUAAUGGCCGUAAGCGGCCCGUCUUGAAACACGGACCAAGGAGUCUAACAUCCACGCGAGUGUUCGGGUGUCAAACCCGUGCGCGCAGUGAAAGCGAACGGAGGUGGGAGCCCCCCCCAGGGCGCACCAUCGACCGAUCCUGAAGUCUUCGGAUGGAUUUGAGUAGGAGCGUGGCCGUUGGGACCCGAAAGAUGGUGAACUAUGCCUGAAUAGGGUGAAGCCAGAGGAAACUCUGGUGGAGGCUCGCAGCGGUUUCUGACGUGCAAAUCGAUUCGUCAAAUUUGGGCAGAAGGGCGAAAGA